CCUACGGGGGGCAGCAGUGGGGAAUAUUGGACAAUGGGGGGAACCCUGAUCCAGCGACGCCGCGUGAGUGAAGAAGUAUUUCGGUAUGUAAAGCUCUAUCAGCAGGGAAGAAAGAAAUGACGGUACCUGACUAAGAAGCCCCGGCUAACUACGUGCCAGCAGCCGCGUUAAUACGUAGGGGGCAAGCGUUAUCCGGAUUUACUGGGUGUAAAGGGAGCGUAGACGGCGAUGCAAGUCUGAAGUGAAAGGCCGGGGCUCAACCUCCGGACUGCUUUGGAAACUGGAUGGCUGGAGUGCAGGAGAGGUAAGUGGAAUUCCUAGUGUAGCGGUGAAAUGCGUAGAUAUUAGGAGGAACACCAGUGGCGAAGGCGGCUGACUGGACUGUAACUGACGUUGAGGCUCGAAAGCGUGGGGAGCAAACAGGAUUAGAUACCCGUGUAGUC
Molecule: ribosomal RNA, 443 nt
Filed under: uncultured bacterium
Lineage: Bacteria
Description: partial 16S ribosomal RNA
Rfam family: Bacterial small subunit ribosomal RNA
Source: RNAcentral